This 440-nucleotide ribosomal RNA is filed under the name uncultured bacterium. RNAcentral's name for it is "bacterial SSU rRNA". It matches the Rfam family "Bacterial small subunit ribosomal RNA", at positions 354 to 796 of the family's 1533-position model. The record is from RNAcentral.
GUUAGGAAUCUUCCCCAAUGGACGAAAGUCUGAGGGAGCGACGCCGCGUGAGGGAUGAAGGUUUUCGGAUCGUAAACCUCUGAAUCAGGGACGAAAGGCCGGGACAACCGGAGAUGACGGUACCUGAGUAAUAGCACCGGCUAACUCCGUGCCAGCAGCCGCGGUAAUACGGAGGGUGCAAGCGUUACCCGGAAUCACUGGGCGUAAAGGGCGUGUAGGCGGCCUGCCAAGUCUGGUUUUAAAGCCUGCGGCUCAACCGCAGAUCUGGACUGGAGACUGGUAGGCUAGACCUCUGGAGAGAGAACUGGAAUUCCUGGUGUAGCGGUGGAAUGCGUAGAUACCAGGAGGAACACCGAUGGCGAAGGCAGGUUCUUGGACAGAAGGUGACGCUGAGGCGCGAAAGUGUGGGGAGCGAACCGGAUUAGAAACCCUAGUAGUCC